RNAcentral lists this unclassified non-coding RNA (349 nucleotides) under soil metagenome. RNAcentral describes it as "partial contains 5.8S ribosomal RNA, internal transcribed spacer 2, and large subunit ribosomal RNA". The stretch from base 1 to 120 matches the Rfam family "5.8S ribosomal RNA", at positions 35 to 154 of the family's 154-position model. The record is from RNAcentral.
GAUGAAGAACGCAGCGAAAUGCGAUAAGUAAUGUGAAUUGCAGAAUUCAGUGAAUCAUCGAAUCUUUGAACGCACAUUGCGCCCGCCAGUAUUCUGGCGGGCAUGCCUGUCCGAGCGUCAUUUCAACCCUCGAACCCCUCCGGGGGUCGGCGUUGGGGAUCGGCCCUUUACGGGGCCGGCCCCGAAAUACAGUGGCGGUCUCGCCGCAGCCUCUCCUGCGCAGUAGUUUGCACACUCGCAUCGGGAGCGCGGCGCGUCCACAGCCGUUAAACACCCCAAACUUCUGAAAUGUUGACCUCGGAUCAGGUAGGAAUACCCGCUGAACUUAAGCAUAUCAAUAAGCGGAGGA